GAUGAACGCUGGCGGCGUGCCUAAUACAUGCAAGUCGAGCGAACAGACGAGGAGCUUGCUCCUCUGACGUUAGCGGCGGACGGGUGAGUAACACGUGGAUAACCUACCUAUAAGACUGGGAUAACUUCGGGAAACCGGAGCUAAUACCGGAUAAUAUAUUGAACCGCAUGGUUCAAUAGUGAAAGACGGUUUUGCUGUCACUUAUAGAUGGAUCUGCGCCGCAUUAGCUAGUUGGUAAGGUAACGGCUUACCAAGGCAACGAUGCGUAGCCGACCUGAGAGGGUGAUCGGCCACACGGGAACUGAGACACGGUCCAGACUCCUACGGGAGGCAGCAGUAGGGAAUCUUCCGCAAUGGGCGAAAGCCUGACGGAGCAACGCCGCGUGAGUGAUGAAGGUCUUCGGAUCGUAAAACUCUGUUAUUAGGGAAGAACAAAUGUGUAAGUAACUAUGCACGUCUUGACGGUACCUAAUCAGAAAGCCACGGCUAACUACGUG
RNAcentral lists this ribosomal RNA (497 nucleotides) under uncultured bacterium. RNAcentral describes it as "partial 16S ribosomal RNA". It matches the Rfam family "Bacterial small subunit ribosomal RNA", at positions 28 to 507 of the family's 1533-position model. The record is from RNAcentral.